AGAGUUUGAUCCUGGCUCAGGAUGAACGUUGGUAGUAUGCCUAACAUAUGCAAGUCGAGCGGAAAGUGGUAGCAAUAUCAUUUUUAGCGGCGGACGGGUGAGUAAUACUUAUCUUACCUACCGUUUAGUGGGGGAUAAAAUACCGCAUGUUCUUUGGCUUCGGCCCAAGGAAAGGAAGUCUUCGGACUUUCGCUAAAUGAGGGGGAUAAGUCGUAUCAGCUUGUUGGUGGGGUAAUGGCUCACCAAGGCAAUGACGCGUAGCCAGGCUGAGAGGCUGAUUGGCCACAAGGAACUGAGACAAGGUCCUACUCCUACGGGAGGCAGCAAUGGGGAAUCGUCGGCGAUGGGGGCAACCCUGACCGCGCAAUACUGCGUGAAGGAGGAAGGUCUACGGAUUGUAAACUUCUAUGGGUAGAGAUACCCUGAAAAAGCGACGACUAACUACGUGCCAGCAGUCGCGGCAAGACGUAGGUCGCGAACGUUAUCCGGAAUUAUUGGGCGUAAAGGGUGCGUAGAUGGUAUGAUAAGUUAUUGGUGGUAAAUCGAGGCUCAACCUCGUGGAAGCUGGUAAUACUGUUAUGCUUGAGUGCAGAAGAGGUUAACGGAACUCCCUGUGGAGCGGUAAAAUGUGAAGAUAUAGGGAAGAACACCAAUAACGGCGAAGGCAGUUAACUAUUCUGCUACUGACAUUGAGGCACGAAAGCGUGGGGAGCAAAACGGAUUAGAUACCCGUGUAGUCCACGCCCUAAACGAUGAGUACUAGAUAUUGGAAACUUGAUUUUCAGUGUCGCUAGUUAACACGGUAAGUACUCCGCCUGGGUAGUACGCUCGCAAGAGUGAAACUCAAAGGAAUUGACGGGGACUCGCACAAGCAGUGGAGCAUGUGGUUUAAUCCGAUACGGCGCGUAGAACCUUACCAAGGCUUGACAUGUUGGGCAAAGCUAGGGAAACCUAGUGGAGGUUAUCCUAACACAGGUGCUGCAUGGCCGUCGUCAGUUCGUGCCGUGAGGUGUAUGGUUAAGUCCUAUAACGAACGCAACCCUUGGGCUUAGUUGCCAGCAUUAAGUUGGGGACUCUAAGCCGAUUGCCUAAGUAAUUAGGAGGAAGGAAAGGAUGACGUCUGGUCGUCAUGGCCCUUAUGCCUUGGGCGACACACGUGCUACAAUGGCUAAUACAAAGGGACGCCAACCCGCGAGGGGGAGCAAAUCUCAAAAAAUUAGCCUCAGUUCGGAUUGGAGGCUGCAACUCGCCUCCAUGAAGUUGGAAUUGCUAGUAAUCGCAAAUCAGCCAUGUUGCGGUGAAUACGUUCUCGAGUCCUGUACACACCGCCCGUCAAAUCACGAAAAUCGGUAAUACCUGAAGUCAAUGAAUAGUUGAUUAGGGUAGGAUUGGUAAUUGGGGUUAAGUCGUAACAAGGUAACCG
This 1423-nucleotide ribosomal RNA is filed under the name uncultured Mollicutes bacterium. RNAcentral describes it as "bacterial SSU rRNA". It matches the Rfam family "Bacterial small subunit ribosomal RNA". The record is from RNAcentral. Lineage: Bacteria; Bacillati; Mycoplasmatota; Mollicutes.